GUUUAAGUAGUUUAAAAAAAACAUUAUAUUUUCAAUAUAAAAAUAAAUAAAUUUUCUUAAAUU
This 63-nucleotide transfer RNA is filed under the name Caliscelis shandongensis. RNAcentral's name for it is "tRNA-Glu". Lineage: Eukaryota; Metazoa; Arthropoda; Insecta; Hemiptera; Caliscelidae. The record is from RNAcentral. RNAcentral also lists the same sequence under 1 other name.